RNAcentral lists this ribosomal RNA (253 nucleotides) under uncultured bacterium. RNAcentral describes it as "partial 16S ribosomal RNA". It matches the Rfam family "Bacterial small subunit ribosomal RNA", at positions 524 to 776 of the family's 1533-position model. The record is from RNAcentral.
UACGAAGGGGGCUAGCGUUGCUCGGAAUCACUGGGCGUAAAGCGCACGUAGGCGGUUUGUUAAGUCAGGGGUGAAAUCCUGGAGCUCAACUCCAGAACUGCCUUUGAUACUGGCGAUCUUGAGUCCGGGAGAGGUGAGUGGAACUGCGAGUGUAGAGGUGAAAUUCGUAGAUAUUCGCAAGAACACCAGUGGCGAAGGCGGCUCACUGGCCCGAUACUGACGCUGAGGCACGAAAGCGUGGGGAGCAAACAGG